This 377-nucleotide unclassified non-coding RNA is filed under the name uncultured Oligoflexaceae bacterium. RNAcentral's name for it is "contains 16S-23S intergenic spacer region". The record is from RNAcentral. Lineage: Bacteria; Pseudomonadati; Bdellovibrionota; Oligoflexia; Oligoflexales; Oligoflexaceae.
UCCGGUUUAACACCGGCAGUCUCCUCAGAGUCCCCAACUUAAUGAUGGUAACUAAGGACAAGGGUUGCGCUCGUUAUCGGACUUAACCGGACAUCUUACGACACGAGCUGACGACAGCCAUGCAGCACCUAUCACCAUGUCCCCGAAAGGAACGCCACAUCUCUGUGGUUGUCAUGGGAUGUUAAGGGUAGGUAAGGUUCUGCGCGUUGCUUCGAAUUAAACCACAUACUCCACCGCUUGUGCGGGCCCCCGUCAAUUCCUUUGAGUUUUAGCCUUGCGACCGUACUCCCCAGGCGGGAUACUUAAUGCGUUAGCUUUGGUACUCAGGAGGUUAAUGUCCCAAACACCUAGUAUCCAUCGUUUACGGCGUGGACUAC